GAUGAACGCUGGCGGCGUGCCUAAUACAUGCAAGUCGAGCGAACGGACGAGAAGCUUGCUUCUCUGAUGUUAGCGGCGGACGGGUGAGUAACACGUGGAUAACCUACCUAUAAGACUGGGAUAACUUCGGGAAACCGGAGCUAAUACCGGAUAAUAUUUUGAACCGCAUGGUUCAAAAGUGAAAGACGGUCUUGCUGUCACUUAUAGAUGGAUCCGCGCUGCAUUAGCUAGUUGGUAAGGUAACGGCUUACCAAGGCAACGAUGCAUAGCCGACCUGAGAGGGUGUGCGGCCACACUGGAACUGAGACACGGGCAAGACUCCGAGGGGAGGCAGGAGUAGGGAAUCUUCCGAAGUGGGGAAAACCACGACAGAGAAACGCAGGGUGGGUGUGGAAGGUGCUCAGAUCAUAAAACUUUGUUAUGAGGGAAGAAAAUAUGUGAAAGUAACGUAGCACAUUGUGACGGUACCAAAUCAGAAAACAACGGCUAAUUACGU
This 496-nucleotide ribosomal RNA is filed under the name uncultured bacterium. RNAcentral's name for it is "partial 16S ribosomal RNA". It matches the Rfam family "Bacterial small subunit ribosomal RNA", at positions 28 to 506 of the family's 1533-position model. The record is from RNAcentral.